CGCCCUGGUGGAGGCGGGACUUCCGGCCCGGCACUUCCGGCGGGAGGGAAGCGCGCGGUGGCUGGCGGUGCGAUCGGUUGUUGAAUCGCAGGGUCGCGGCCCCGGCGGCUGGUUCCCACGGCCAGGCCUCCGCCGGCCGGCCUUCCGCGUGGGUGCGGGGCUCGUUGUCACGUGGGAGCCCGGGUGAACUUGAACUCGUGCACCCCCCCGGAGGCCCAAGCCAGGGAGCGUGUCCCGGUGGCAGUCACGAAGCAGAGCUGAGAAUGUAAUUCCUGGAGUUGAAGCAGCCAUGCAGCUCUCAGUGGACAAGCAAUGCUUUUCAUGCAUGAAGAAGAGAUCAGAAUGGGAAAAAGCAGCCAGUUUCUUAAAAUCGGUUAGUCACUGCACUGCAUCAGGACUGUACAUUUCAGACAUAUUGCCAUACCAUAUAAUUUCCUGCUCCUUGCAUCCUGGUUGAAACAAUCGGUGAUAGCACAAGGCCUGCAGAGGAUAGAUGAUGUGGACGAACAACUAGAAUCAUUUCAACUAUCCCAAAAGGAUACCAUGCUGCAGAGAAAUGGAGCAAAUUGAAACGUAGUACCUGGAGCUCUGUUGUUCAUUGUUGUUCUUGAGAUGAGAUAUCUCUGCAGCCCAGGUUGCAGGCUUCCAAGUGCCACCACUACUCCUGGUCAGUGGCUAUUUCUAAUACAACAACAACAAAAUCUACAAUACUUUAAAUAAUGCAAAAUAAAAGCCAUUUGUAUAGUUUCA
Long non-coding RNA from Dipodomys spectabilis (banner-tailed kangaroo rat), 750 nucleotides. RefSeq lists it as uncharacterized. Lineage: Eukaryota; Metazoa; Chordata; Mammalia; Rodentia; Heteromyidae. The record is from RefSeq and is a predicted model, not a curated record. The transcript has 2 exons.